This is a long non-coding RNA of Papilio polytes (common Mormon), 2125 nucleotides long. RefSeq lists it as uncharacterized. The transcript has 2 exons. Lineage: Eukaryota; Metazoa; Arthropoda; Insecta; Lepidoptera; Papilionidae. The record is from RefSeq and is a predicted model, not a curated record.
AAAGUAUAAAUAAAAAGGAAUAAUUUAAUAACGGACGUGUUCAACCGUUAAUAUUUUAAUACAUAAUUGAUAACACACAAUUCAACAAAAUAAUUGUACACCAAACCCAGCCAAUAUGCUAUGUUAACAAUUAGGUAUAUAAUUUAGAAAUUUAUUAUUGCAGCUUUAUAAGGCUUGUAUAUUGUAGACGCAUUGCAAUUUUAACAUGAAUUGAAUGUUACUUAUGAAUAAAAAUAUUGCUCAAUCGACAAACCUCAAGAACAUCAUUAUCACAAGUCAGAAACAACGUUAUCCAAAUAUUGAAAAUUUUCCUUCCUAAACCACUUAUUUUAUUAUAAGGCAAAAUUGAGUAAUUAACAAGUGGACAAAUCGGUAUAUAUCUAAAUAUUAGAAAUGUUAUAUUAAAGAUUGAAAAUUUAUCGAUUGAAGUACAUGGACAAAAGUUGUGAAACAUUUUUAUUGCUUUUAACAUGAGAAUUUGAAAAAGUGGUACGGAAACAUUCAAGCAAGCAUUGUUGUCCGUUUUAAGGCAUUCUCAUAACUUUUAAUAUAAACUAGCUAAAUAUGCCUACUAAAAUAUCCUUAUAAACCUGUAUCUAAAAAAAUCCCUUACACUUUACAUGUUACCAUACUCCCACUUUGUGGUUACAAUGCAAAUAUCAAAUGCACAAUACACAUACAUAAACCGGAUCUAGCAAUCUAAUUGUAUUUAAACACAACAAACAAUUGCUUUACUACCUAAAUAUACCAUUUACAUUGGUUAGCUAAUUUCGAGCCAAAAUAGGGAUUUUUUUUUAUUAUUUAUUAACUAUUAAAUGUUUUAAAAUAGCUAUUUUCGUUUACAUCAUAAAAGCUUUGAUAGAGUAAAAGUUGAUGAGAGUUAUUUAAUACAUAAAUUUAGAACAUAAAAAAUCAUAAAAUUCCAUAAUUCACAUGCAGUUGUGAUGUCAUUUUAAUUUGUAAAGUAAAAUUUAAUUUGUAAUAGGUUAUAAUACAAUAAAAAUAUGUUAAUAUUGCUUUUUUUAAAAAAUUGUAAAUUAUUAAGAUAAUUGCACAGAAAUGUGAUGACAAAUUAUAAUUGCGGGGACAAUGACAUAUAACAUAGUUAGAGAUACAACACUAGUGAUGACCUUCCCUAAUGAGAUUACCUGAUAAAACCUACAUUAGGUGAAAUAGCAAUUUUUUUUUAAACAUGUUGUAACUGGGUUGCCUAAUCCUAGCCUGGUUAGCCUAUGAUUAGGCAAUGCAGUAAAAAGAUAGGCAACCCCACCUUAGAGUCAUGUUUACAUUACGUACUAUCGAUUGGUGACAAAAUUUUCAGGAUACUCGAUGAGGAGUUUUUGCUGAAAAAAUUGCCGACUUCAGAGAUCAAUUAAACAUAGCCUUGCCAGGCUAGGAUUAGGCAACCCGGUUACAUGUUUAAAAAAAUGUGCUCUUUCACGUAAUGUAGGUUUCGUCAGGAAAACAAAUGAGGGAAGGAAAAACGCUUUGUAGCCUAACACAUUAGUUCGUUUUAUGCAAUAAAAGAUAAUUUAUUUCAUUAAGAAUUGAUUAAAAAGAUAUCUGGUAAAACGAAUUAGGUACAGUACAAUAGACUAUGUCAAAAGUCAAAACUAUUAACUAUUGAGAUUAUUGGUGACCGACGUGACGAAGACAGUUUUCAUCUUAAUGAAGACUGAAAAUUCAUUCAUAAAAGAUCCGAAGACAAGAUUUAAGAGAAGACUUUAUUAUAUUAAUAUAUAAGUGCAAAAGAACAAUAUGCAACGAUUAUUUUUAACUAAAAUUAACACUAUAUUAAAGUGUCUAUUAUGUAAAAAAAUACAAAUAUUUAAUUUCCUUUCAAUGGCAGUUUAGGUAUGGGUGUAUACAAAUAGUUAUUUCAUUGUCUGUACUAAAUUCGCUCAUAGCAUUUGUUAAAUAAUCUCUGUUCUCGUAAUGCUCUAAUACUACAAAUCACAGAUCUCUGUGUACCUUCUCCUAAAAAUGUCUUUAAAUUUUGUUACUUGAGUCGAUUACUCAAUAACAUGAUUAUAUUUUUAAACAUUUGCACAUAAACUUCUAACAAUUCUAUAAUUGUGUAUAGAACAGUAGAAAUAAUGUAAAUACGAUAUUGUCUUGAAACAUC